This 1941-nucleotide ribosomal RNA is filed under the name human gut metagenome. RNAcentral's name for it is "bacterial LSU rRNA". It matches the Rfam family "Bacterial large subunit ribosomal RNA", at positions 23 to 1973 of the family's 2925-position model. The record is from RNAcentral.
GGCGGAUGCCUUGGCUCUCGGAGGCGAUGAAGGACGUGAUAAGCUGCGAUAAGCUCCGGGGAGGUGCAAAUAACCUUUGAUCCGGGGAUUUCCGAAUGGGACAACCCGGCGUGUUGAAGACACGCCACCUGAUCAUUUCAGGAGCUAACGCAGGGAACUGAAACAUCUUAGUACCUGCAGGAAAAGAAAAUAACAAUGAUUCCCCCAGUAGUGGCGAGCGAACGGGGAAUAGCCCAAACCGUUCAUGUUACGGCAUGAUCGGGGUUGUAGGACUACGUCGUUGCAUGAAGACAUCGGAGAAGAACUUUCUGGAAAGAAAGACCAUAGAGCAUGACAGUUGCGUAUUCGUAUGUUGUCGAAGCAUAGUAGUAUCCUGAGUAGCGCGGAGCACGAGGAAUUCUGCGUGAAUCUGCCGGGACCAUCCGGUAAGGCUAAAUACUCCCGAGAGACCGAUAGCGAACCAGUACCGUGAGGGAAAGGUGAAAAGCACUUCGAACAGAAGAGUGAAAUAGUUCCUGAAACCGUGCGCCUACAAGCGGUCGGAGCUCGUUAAUGAGUGACGGCGUGCCUUUUGCAUAAUGAACCUACGAGUUGCCUUUGCCGGCAAGGUUAAGUGUGACGACACACGUAUCCGAAGCGAAAGCGAGUCUGAACAGGGCGUAUAGUCGGCAGUGGCAGACGCGAAACCAAGUGAUCUACCCUUGGCCAGGUUGAAGGCUGGGUAACACCAGCUGGAGGACCGCACCAAUAAGCGUUGAAAAGCUUCUGGAUGAGCUGAGGGUAGGGGUGAAAGGCUAAUCAAACUUGGAGAUAGCUCGUACUCCCCGAAAUGCAUUUAGGUGCAGCCUUGACUUAUACUGACGUGAGGUAGAGCGACUGAUAAGAUGCGAGGGCUUCACCGCCUAUCAAGUCUUGACAAACUCCGAAUGCGCGUCAGUUUUAUGUCAGGAGUGAGGGCAUGGGUGCUAAGGUCCAUGUCCGAGAGGAGAACAAUCCGGACCAACAGCUAAGGUCCCGAAAUGAAUACUAAGUUGAACUAACGAAGUCAGAUUGCUAAGACAGCUAGGAUGUUGGCUUGGAAGCAGCCAUUCAUUUAAAGAGUGCGUAACAGCUCACUAGUCGAGGAGUCGGGCGUGGAUAAUAAUCGGGUAUGAAGUUGUCUACCGAAGCAGUGGGAUCAUUAAUAUGAUCGGUAGGGGAGCAUUCCAGUCGGCGUCGAAGGCGUACCGCGAGGUAUUCUGGAGCGUCUGGAAAAGCAAAUGUAGGUAUAAGUAACGAUAAAGGGGGCGGGAAACCCCCUCGCCGAAAGACUAAGGUUUCCUGAUCAACGCUAAUCGGAUCAGGGUAAGUCGGGUCCUAAGGCUCAGCCGAAGGGCGAUGCCGAUGGCAGAAACGGUUAAUAUUCCGUUACUACCUCCAGGAGUGAUGUGGAGACGCAGUAGUGACAAUGCCGCCAUCUGACGGAAUAGAUGGUUGAAGGGUGUAGAUGUUGAUCUUGGCAGGCAAAUCCACCAUGAGAAUCGAACCUGAUAGUAUGCCGCGUCCCUCGGGACAAGGCAAUAGUGCAUGUAAUCAUGCUGCCAAGAAAAUCCGCUAAACUAAAUCCUGUAGGUACCCGUACCGUAAACGGACACACGUAGUCGGGAUGAAUAUUCUAAGGCGCUUGAGUGAUUCACGGUUAAGGAACUAGGCAAACUGACCCUGUAACUUCGGGAUAAAGGGUCCCUACCCGGUGACGGGAGGGCGCAGAGAAUAGGUCCAGGCAACUGUUUAACAAAAACACAGGGCUGUGCGAAAUCGAAAGAUCCUGUAUACAGCCUGACACCUGCCCGGUGCUGGAAGGUUAAGAGGAGACGUCAUCGUUGAGAGAAGCGUUGAAUUGAAGCCCCAGUAAACGGCGGCCGUAACUAUAACGGUCCUAAGGUAGCGAAAUUCCUUGUC